UGCUGUUUCAAGGCUUUUAAUCAAAGUUUGAAUAAUACUCGAUGAAACGUUGUUGAAGUACAUGAAAAGGAAUCAGGUGGACCCUCAAAGAAGAAAUGUGUCUACAGCUUAUACAAGACAUGUGACUGCGAUGUGGCCACAUGUGAGGACAUCAUUUCUGGAAAUAGAUCAGAACUCAACACUACAGACUUCAUGUUGAAUCAGCAGCAGAAGAACAAUACCAUCAUCUCUCUGUUAGGUGCUGCUUUGGCUAUAUGUGUGAUUGUUAAUGCCUUUCUCAUUUAUGCAAUCAAGAAACUGAAGGGGAAAUCCUGUGGUGUUUGCAACACUGCUGUUACUCUGCAUACAAAUGAAACAACAGCGGGUCAAAAUCAGCGAGGUCAGCAGACAGAUGAUGACUCGUUGAUUUAUUCUGCACCAACCUUCAUCAGAAGGAAAUCUAGCAAAGGGACUGGGGGUGCAAAAGCAAUGAAAGAAGAGUGUAUCUACACUGAUGCCCGGGCUCUUAGGUUGGCUUGAUGGUGUAAUACUGGAUUUGCUAAUCUUUGCAGAUGCAAUAUUUAUUUUCAUUCUGUUCAAGAAAGGUACUAGCCCCUAAUGUCAUUAAUCCAAUUAAUAUAUUGGAUUGUACUGUGUGUAUAUGUUUUGCACACAUGAGUAAUCUUCAUGACACAAAAGUAAUAUAAAAGCUACUGUAAGCUUGUGUAGAUAGACAUACUGUAUACUGUAGGGAUACAUAUUUGUUUCAUUGUGAGUUAUCAAAGUUGUGAACAACAACUUGCAUCAUACAGUUUCAAGUCAUACAUUUACAUUUUCCAAAUCUGUGUACUGUCUGUGUCAAUGCUAUGUAAAGAUAAUUGUGUGUUGCUUUUUUCCUAAUAAAUAAUUGAAUUUUCACAAGAGAUACCAAACUGAUAAGCAAUUGAACCUGCUGCUCUGCUCACACAUACAGAUACAGCUCAGAUUUAUGAACAUACUGCACAUGUUUAACCACCCCCCACCCCCCCUUAGUUAUUACCUAAACAAGCUCGGCAUUAUACUUUUGCUCACAUAGGUCAACCAAACUCAGGUCAAAGUUCAUUAAAUGUGUACAUAUCUUUUUAACAUCAUAUAGCCUACAUCCAUUGAACACACAAAAUACCCAAUAAUCCAGAAGGCUUGCAUAAAAACUGUUUUUCCAUAGUGAUGUCAAUAUGGGUUAAGACUAAAAAGUAAAUUAUAUAUAUUUAUAUACCUAUUUACUGCUUUACAAAUUGUAUGCAGUAAUUCUUUUUCAGAUACGCUGGUUCCAGUGACCACAGUUGAACUUGGUAAUCUGCGACCGUCACCUGUGCUACGCUUAAUUUUGAGAGUCAGCGUAA
Molecule: long non-coding RNA, 1361 nt
Organism: Trematomus bernacchii (emerald rockcod)
Lineage: Eukaryota; Metazoa; Chordata; Actinopteri; Perciformes; Nototheniidae
Exons: 4
Source: RefSeq, a predicted model, not a curated record